AGCGAACGCUGGCGGCGUGCCUAACACAUGCAAGUCGAACGUGAAAAGGGAAACCUGAGUAAAGUGGCGUACGGGUGAGUAACGCGUAGGUAAUCUACCCCAGAAUCUGGAAUAACCUGCCGAAAGGCGGGCUAAUACUGGAUAGAGCGAGGGAACUCGUAAGAGAGUUUUUCGGGAAAGGGAGCCCGCAAGGGCCUUCGUUCUGGGAUGAGCCUGCGUCUCAUUAGCUAGUUGGUAAGGUAACGGCUUACCAAGGCGAUGAUGAGUAGCUGGUCUGAGAGGAUGAUCAGCCACACUGGAACUGAAACACGGUCCAGACUCCUACGGGAGGCAGCAGUGGGGAAUCUUGCGCAAUGGACGAAAGGCUGACGCAGCCACGCCGCGUGAGUGAAGAAGGCCUUCGGGUUGUAAAGCUCUGUCGGAUGGGACGAACAUCUUCAUAGUGAAUAGCUAUGAGGACUGACGGUACCAUCAAAGGAAGCACCGGCUAACUCCGUG
This 498-nucleotide ribosomal RNA is filed under the name uncultured bacterium. RNAcentral's name for it is "partial 16S ribosomal RNA". It matches the Rfam family "Bacterial small subunit ribosomal RNA", at positions 29 to 507 of the family's 1533-position model. The record is from RNAcentral.